Long non-coding RNA from Aquila chrysaetos chrysaetos, 120 nucleotides. RefSeq lists it as uncharacterized. NCBI's taxonomy places the organism in Eukaryota, Metazoa, Chordata, Aves, Accipitriformes, Accipitridae. The transcript has 2 exons. The record is from RefSeq and is a predicted model, not a curated record.
GAGGGAAACCAGGGAAAAGAGACAGGUGAGGGGAAAGAGGGAAAAGAGAGAGUCGAGGGGAAAGAAGGGAAAGAGAGAGUUCAUGGAAAAGAGGGAAGCCAUGGAAAAGAGACAGGCGAG